GUCAUUAAGAAAAACCUCUUCCUGUCAGUGACAAGAUGCUUUCAGAGCACUUUUUUCCAACCAACAAAUGAUCUUGAUUGGAAUCUUGCUGUGGCACUCUGAACCAAAGUUCAUUCAAUGUCUGAAAUUACGCUGUCAGCAAUGAAGGGAAAAUUUUCAAACAACUAUUACAUCCUCUCUACAGAUCUCAAAAACCACCAGAACUUAAAUGGGGGAAGAAGGCUGUGUGUUACCACAUAAUACAAGAGCUCUGCCUGCUCAUUUAUACCUGUGCAAUGGGACUCAUAAGGUUUUGGCAUUAAACAUUGCACAGUUACUGAGCUGCACUGGAACCAUAUUGGCUUGACUUGCUCAUGUCCAACCAAGUUUUGAGGCAGGAAAAUUAUCACAAUUUGUUAAAACUUAAAGCCUCAGGAGCCUCCAUUUUAAUAUACCUGUCAUGGGUAGAA
Vidua chalybeata is the source of this 449-nucleotide long non-coding RNA. RefSeq lists it as uncharacterized. The record is from RefSeq and is a predicted model, not a curated record. Lineage: Eukaryota; Metazoa; Chordata; Aves; Passeriformes; Viduidae. The transcript has 3 exons.